CCAGCAGCUGCGGUAAUUCCAGCUCCAAUAGCGUAUAUUAAAGUUGUUGCAGUUAAAAAGCUCGUAGUUGGAUCUCGGGUACUAGCAUGUGGUACGCUUUUUUGCUGUUACUACAUGUCUGGUCCUAAUCAACCGGUUGGCCGUUGAUGCCCUUUAUUGGGUGUUUUCGGUAGCCGGUACGUUUACUUUGAGAAAAUUAGAGUGCUUAAAGCAGGCCUUAAGCCUGAAUAAUGUUGCAUGGAAUAAUAGAAUAGGACCUCGGUUCUAUUUUGUUGGUUUUGUAGAGCAUUGAGGUAAUGAUUAAUAGGGACAGACGGGGGCAUUCGUAUUGCGGUGUUAGAGGUGAAAUUCUUGGAUCGCCGCAAGACGAACAACUGCGAAAGCAUUUGCCAAGAAUGUUUUCAUUAAUCAAGAACGAAAGU
This 422-nucleotide ribosomal RNA is filed under the name uncultured eukaryote. RNAcentral's name for it is "SSU rRNA". It matches the Rfam family "Eukaryotic small subunit ribosomal RNA", at positions 567 to 990 of the family's 1831-position model. The record is from RNAcentral.